UAAGACUCUCGGCAAUGGAUAUCUUGGCUCUUGCAUCGAUGAAGAGCGCAGCGAAAUGCGAUACGUGGUGCGAAUUGCAGAAUCCCGUGAACCAUCGAGUUUUUGAACGCAAGUUGCGCCUGAGGCCAUCUGGUCGAGGGCACGUCCGCCUGGGCGUCAUGC
RNAcentral lists this ribosomal RNA (162 nucleotides) under Corybas unguiculatus. RNAcentral describes it as "5.8S ribosomal RNA". It matches the Rfam family "5.8S ribosomal RNA". From Rfam's summary of the family: 5.8S ribosomal RNA (5.8S rRNA) is a component of the large subunit of the eukaryotic ribosome. It is transcribed by RNA polymerase I as part of the 45S precursor that also contains 18S and 28S rRNA. Lineage: Eukaryota; Viridiplantae; Streptophyta; Magnoliopsida; Asparagales; Orchidaceae. RNAcentral also lists the same sequence under 1 other name. The record is from RNAcentral.